Molecule: ribosomal RNA, 1224 nt
Filed under: metagenome
Description: bacterial SSU rRNA
Rfam family: Bacterial small subunit ribosomal RNA
Source: RNAcentral
CAGAUUUAUCGGUGAUGGAUGGGGAUGCGUCUGAUUAGCUUGUUGGCGGGGUAACGGCCCACCAAGGCAACGAUCAGUAGGGGUUCUGAGAGGAAGGUCCCCCACAUUGGAACUGAGACACGGUCCAAACUCCUACGGGAGGCAGCAGUGAGGAAUAUUGGUCAAUGGGCGAGAGCCUGAACCAGCCAAGUAGCGUGCAGGAAGACGGCCCUAUGGGUUGUAAACUGCUUUUAUAAGGGAAUAAAGUGAGUCUCGUGAGACUUUUUGCAUGUACCUUAUGAAUAAGGACCGGCUAAUUCCGUGCCAGCAGCCGCGGUAAUACGGAAGGUCCGGGCGUUAUCCGGAUUUAUUGGGUUUAAAGGGAGCGUAGGCCGGAGAUUAAGCGUGUUGUGAAAUGUAGACGCUCAACGUCUGCACUGCAGCGCGAACUGGUUUCCUUGAGUACGCACAAAGUGGGCGGAAUUCGUGGUGUAGCGGUGAAAUGCUUAGAUAUCACGAAGAACUCCGAUUGCGAAGGCAGCUCACUGGAGCGCAACUGACGCUGAAGCUCGAAAGUGCGGGUAUCUAACAGGAUUAGAUACCCUGGUAGUCCGCACGGUAAACGAUGGAUGCCCGCCGUUGGUCUGAACAGGUCAGCGGCCAAGCGAAAGCAUUAAGCAUCCCACCUGGGGAGUACGCCGGCAACGGUGAAACUCAAAGGAAUUGACGGGGGCCCGCACAAGCGGAGGAACAUGUGGUUUAAUUCGAUGAUACGCGAGGAACCUUACCCGGGCUUGAAUUGCAGGAAGGAUUUGGAGACAAUGACGCCCUUCGGGGUCUCUGUGAAGGUGCUGCAUGGUUGUCGUCAGCUCGUGCCGUGAGGUGUCGGCUUAAGUGCCAUAACGAGCGCAACCCCUCUCCUUAGUUGCCAUCAGGUUAAGCUGGGCACUCUGGGGACACUGCCACCGUAAGGUGUGAGGAAGGUGGGGAUGACGUCAAAUCAGCACGGCCCUUACGUCCGGGGCUACACACGUGUUACAAUGGCAGGUACAGAGAGACGGUCCCUUGCAAAACGGAUCAAAUCCUUAAAGCCUGUCUCAGUUCGGACUGGGGUCUGCAACCCGACCCCACGAAGCUGGAUUCGCUAGUAAUCGCGCAUCAGCCAUGGCGCGGUGAAUACGUUCCCGGGCCUUGUACACACCGCCCGUCAAGCCAUGAAAGCCGGGGGCGCCUAAAGUCCGUGAC